UCGCUCUUGUCGUUACGGGUUGCUCGUCGUCGAACCUCACCGCUGCCAGCGCAAGCCACCGCAGCUCUCCGCCCUAGCUUGCCCAUGCCUGUGCGAGCAACCGUAGCUCCCCGACGGUGCUCACCCACGCUGAUGCCCGAGCGAGCCACCGUGACUCGCUGCCGGUUCUCGUCCACGUCUGCAGGCGCCAGCGCAAUUCGUCCUCGCCUCGCGGAUGCCUGCGCUAGAUACCGCAGCUCGCUGCGGGUUCUCCCCCACGCCUGCGCGCGAUAGCGCAGCUCUCUGCGGGUGCUUGCCAUCCCCUCGGCUCAUUGGCGCAGCUCGCCCUCCCCUGCUGGAGAAGUGUUUUAGUGGCGAGGGUGGUGCUGAAGAGAAGACGAUGCCUUGUGCAGGUCCUGAGCAAGUGGCGUGAUGGCAGCAGCGGCCGGAGGAGGAGAUGGAUGCGUGUGUAGGUCCUGAAGAUGUUGAAUGCAAGCAACAUGUAAGUCACGUUUGUUGUACUCUUUUGCUUGAUUAUGGAUUGCGAUUUGGAAAUUACAUGAAGAAUAGCAUGUCACAUUUAGUUUCACAGCCAGGACAAAUGAGCGACAAUAUGACAAAUGAGUAAUAUUGCAAAUUUCAGUCCAUAAGCUACUUGCUGCAAUCUGUUUUGUUGCACUUGUUGUAGAUUAUUCAAAAGCAGCAAUGGAAUUGUAGGUAGAAGUGGCACACGUAUGUAGACCUCCGUACAUUGGCAAGGGACUCUUCAACCAUGAUUCGCAGAUGAAUCUGAAUUCACAUCUCCCAAAAAAAAGUAAGGAGUUCACAUAAUGAUUUCAUAAAUAAAACUAAAAUGAGUUCACAACGCCAAAUAUAUAUGAGCUCCCGGCUAAUAUAAGCUCACGGCUCAGAGCAAUUGAAGAAAUUGAGUUCAAAUAGAAGAAAACUACUUGAUGAAAUAAGUCUGGAACUCGCUGACUGGAACUUGAUUUAUGUUUAAUAAUAUGGCACGGCUGUGUGCAUCAUUUGAUGCAGAGGCCGGGGUAAUCCCCUUUUCGAAAAUAAAAUAAGUAUAACAUCAAUUUCAUAGAGACCAAUCAUCCAAUUUGUAGCUUUCUCUUUGAUGUAAGCUUCUUUGCUGGAUAUGUGGGCUUUGGAAUGAGACUAAUGUUAGACAGUCGAAUAAGCGGUAUGUGAUAGUAGGCCUUCCCUGUGUCAACGGGCAAUAUUAAACUCAUCUUUGUCUAGGGGGACAGUUCAGUAACUUAGAGACGUACGAAACAUUUUUCUCCUCAGAAAAGAAAUUCCCCACUCCACAAACAGGUCUUCUUCUUCCAGGUUGGUGCAUUGACGGAGUCAAUACACUGGUACAACCCCAGCAUGGAAGAUACAAAUUACUUCAUAUUUCUUGCUGUAAUUUCAGUGGUGACUUCCGGGCAAAGCCAGGGCGGCUGCCUGACAUUGUGGGGUCGAUUAACAUCUGCCACUGAGUCGCUGGAUCUACCUAUUAUUACUUGCAAUCUAGUAGUAGAGCACCCUGACUCAUUCAGCUCCGUAAGCAUCCUUUGUUCCCUUUCUUUUGGUUGUUUGAAUCAUUUGAUUCCACUUUGUUUCCAUCGCAAAGAAAAAUUAC
Molecule: long non-coding RNA, 1612 nt
Filed under: Triticum aestivum (bread wheat)
Lineage: Eukaryota; Viridiplantae; Streptophyta; Magnoliopsida; Poales; Poaceae
Description: long non-coding RNA (TAES_LNC008528)
Source: RNAcentral